AGUUGUUUAUUGCAGAUCUGAAGGGGGAAGGUUUCUUUGCUCCCUUAUUUGGAUUGAAAACAAGCACAUAAUGUUGGGUGUGAAUCGGUUUCCGACAUCGCGUUUAUUCAGGUGGAUGGCCUUGCGCCACUCUUCCAGCAACCUUUUUGUUGGAGGUAUCCCAUCCCUUUUUCUCUCUUUAUGUGUUUAACUAUAGUAUUGGUUUUAAAAAGCACCUCUGAGGCGCGAUGUGACAAGUUAUGCACAUAUGGGUCUGAAUUGGAGUCUGUAAGAGGCUGGUUUGUGAAAACAAGCAUACGUGCAGAAGACGUUAUGAAUGGCGACUUACUUGAUAAGAAGACUAAUAUAUAAAGGAGAUGAGAGAAAUACGAGUCCGGCUGUACAUAGAGCAAUGCCUCACGUACGUGAAGCUCUUAUCUCUUGCCUCGCGCCUCAUCUUUUGGGACCUAAACAUCUCAGAGUGCUCCACGCUUUUCAAAACCAAGUUUAUAGUAGUGAAACAUGUCUUAAUAUAUGUUUUUAGGAAGCAUGACAAAUCUGAGAAAAGAGUUUGGGUCCUUGGGAUUAUUAGAUAUAUUGUAGAACAUCAUGCUUGUUGUCAUUUCUUUUUUUUCGUAAUAAUAUAUGUAUGGGCACAGGCUUUUCCUGUGAUACAAAUGAACCUGUGUUGAAAGAGGUUUUUGGGCAUUAUGGAGAAAUUAUUGAAGCAAAAGUUAUAUGUGAUCACAAGAGUGGCAAAUCAAAAGGAUAUGGAUUUGUGCAUUUCAUUUCUAAAGAUUCUGACAGCAAAGCCUUAGCAGAAAUGGAUGGUCAGGUACAUUG
Molecule: long non-coding RNA, 822 nt
Organism: Helianthus annuus (common sunflower)
Lineage: Eukaryota; Viridiplantae; Streptophyta; Magnoliopsida; Asterales; Asteraceae
Exons: 3
Source: RefSeq, a predicted model, not a curated record